RNAcentral lists this ribosomal RNA (466 nucleotides) under uncultured bacterium. RNAcentral's name for it is "bacterial SSU rRNA". It matches the Rfam family "Bacterial small subunit ribosomal RNA", at positions 330 to 793 of the family's 1533-position model. The record is from RNAcentral.
CCCAGACUCCUACGGGAGGCAGCAGUGAGGAAUAUUGGUCAAUGGGCGAGAGCCUGAACCAGCCAAGUCGCGUGAGGGAAGACGGUCCUAUGGAUUGUAAACCUCUUUUGCCGGGGAGCAAAAAGCGGUACGUGUACCGCAUCGAGAGUACCCGGAGAAAAAGCAUCGGCUAACUAUGUGCCAGCAGCCGCGGUAAUACAUAGGGAGCAAGCGUUAUCCGGAUUUAUUGGGUGUAAAGGGUGCGUAGACGGGAAAUUAAGUUAGUUGUGAAAUCCCUCGGCUUAACUGAGGAACUGCAACUAAAACUGAUUUUCUUGAGUACUGGAGAGGAAAGUGGAAUUCCUAGUGUAGCGGUGAAAUGCGUAGAUAUUAGGAGGAACACCAGUGGCGAAGGCGACUUUCUGGACAGUAACUGACGUUGAGGCACGAAAGUGUGGGGAGCAAACAGGAUUAGAUACCCUCGUAA